This 471-nucleotide ribosomal RNA is filed under the name uncultured bacterium. RNAcentral's name for it is "bacterial SSU rRNA". It matches the Rfam family "Bacterial small subunit ribosomal RNA", at positions 355 to 825 of the family's 1533-position model. The record is from RNAcentral.
UGGGGAAUUGUUCGCAAUGGGCGCAAGCCUGACGACGCAACGCCGCGUGGAGGAUGAAGGUCUUCGGAUUGUAAACUCCUGUUGCCCGGGACGAAAUGUUCAGACCUAAUACGUCUGAGUUUGACGGUACCGGGUGAGGAAGCCCCGGCUAACUCUGUGCCAGCAGCCGCGGUAAUACAGAGGGGGCAAGCGUUGUUCGGAAUUACUGGGCGUAAAGGGCGCGUAGGCGGCUUGACAAGUCACUUGUGAAAUCUCUGGGCUUAACCCAGAACGGCCAAGUGAAACUGUCAUGCUAGAGUGCAGAAGGGGCAAUCGGAAUUCUUGGUGUAGCGGUGAAAUGCGUAGAUAUCAAGAGGAACACCUGAGGUGAAGACGGGUUGCUGGGCUGACACUGACGCUGAGGCGCGAAAGCCAGGGGAGCAAACGGGAUUAGAUACCCCUGUAGUCCCUGAGCGGGCUGGCAAGGCGCAU